This 1637-nucleotide long non-coding RNA is filed under the name Salmo salar (Atlantic salmon). RNAcentral's name for it is "lncRNA (ENSSSAG00000103734.1)". The record is from RNAcentral. Lineage: Eukaryota; Metazoa; Chordata; Actinopteri; Salmoniformes; Salmonidae.
CUGAUUUACAAAUUAAUGAAAAAUGAAAAGCUGAAAUGUCUGUAGUUAAUAAGUAUUCAUCCCUUUUAUUAUGGUAAGCCUAAAUAAACAUUUGCAUAAGUCAGAUAAUAAGUUGAAUGGACUAUCUCUGUGUGCAAUAGUGUUUAACAUGAUUGUUUUAUAACUACCUCAUCUCUGUACCCCACACAUACAAUUAUCUGUAAGGUCCCUCAGUCGAGCAGUAAAUUUCAAGCCCAGAUUCAACGACAAAGACCAGGGAGGUUUUCCAAAGCCUUGUAAAGAAGGGCACCUAUUGCAGAUGGGUUAAAAAACAACAAGCAGACAUUGAAUAUCCCUUUGAGCAUGGUGAACAUUGCUUAAAAAUAUAAAGUGGUACUCAGUGAUGUGUUGUGUUGGAUUUGCUCCCAAACAUAAUGCUUUGUAUUCAGGACAAAACAUUUAUUUCUUUGCCACAUUUUUUUGCAGUUCUACUUUAGUGCCUUGUUGCAAACAUGAUGCAUGUUUUGGAAUAUUUGUAUUCUGUACAGGCUUCCUUCUUUUCACUCUGUCAUUUAAGUUAGUAUUGUGGAGUAACUACACUGUUGUUGAUCCAUCCCCAGUUGUUUUCUCUUAUCACAGCCAUUAAACUCUGUAACAGGUUUAAUAUCACCAUUGGCCUCAUGGUGAAACCCCUGAGCAGUUUCCUUCCUCUCUGUCAACUGAGUUAGACCCAAUUGUCUUGACCAUCUUUUUCUUCAUCGGAGCUGGCUUCAUCAUCAUACAAAUGUUGAAUUAAGUACCUUACGGUCAUUGUUUUGAAUUUAAAAAGGUCAAAAAGCAGCUUCUUAGCUAAGAACAAUUUCAAAGCAAGAAUUUUGCUAGGACUGUAUGGGAGUGGAAAACUAACUUAUUGUCAGAAAGAUUUGGAAAGCUCUUAUUGGUCUUAACUACUUUAAUGCCUGGUGAAAAACUCCACCCCACCAUAACAGCAGAAUAUUUUUUAUUCAAACCACUCUUACACUAAAAGGGUAUUAUAAUUUUCACACUAUUAUUCCAACCUCAUAGUGUGGAAAUAUAUAAAACACUGGAAAAUCUAGUUUGACUGAUGUGGUGGGGUUGAACCCAAGUGCAGAGAAUGGACCAGACGAGGAACUAAUGAUUAAGGAUAAACAAAUACUUUACUGUGAAAAGAUAACAUAAGGAUCACAGUAACACAGGAGAAAACAACAAACACUAGGACUAGAAACUCACUCGGGACAAACACACAGGGCAACCGAAAUAAAGCUUAUGCAAAGAGAACUGAAAACACCUUUAUUAAUGGGGAAAGAUCAUGAGGAAAUGGGAAACACCAGAGUGUAAUAAUAGUCUCUAUGGUCAUCUCUGAUGCCAGGAGGAACCAGGACAGACUGCAGUGGGCCUUUAAGUGUUACUGAGAUUUCACUAUACAGUGUUUUUGUAGUGACAGAAAAGCAUAACCACAACUUUUAUGCAAGAAAACAAAUUGUUGAUUUUGGUAUAAAUGCAAUUCUUAGUAAAUGCAGCCUCUUUUGCUCUCUGAUCAUGCCUAGAUUAUAAAUGCUAUGUUAAAUGCCUUAAUGUCAAUGUUGCCUUGUAUGUGAAUUACAAUGUAAUAAAAUCUAUUUGCCUUGGACAGACAA